Molecule: ribosomal RNA, 643 nt
Filed under: uncultured bacterium
Lineage: Bacteria
Description: bacterial SSU rRNA
Rfam family: Bacterial small subunit ribosomal RNA
Source: RNAcentral
CGCGGCCUAUCAGCUUGUUGGUGGGGUAAUGGCCUACCAAGGCGACGACGGGUAGCCGGCCUGAGAGGGCGACCGGCCACACUGGGACUGAGACACGGCCCAGACUCCUACGGGAGGCAGCAGUGGGGAAUAUUGCACAAUGGGCGAAAGCCUGAUGCAGCGACGCCGCGUGAGGGAUGACGGCCUUCGGGUUGUAAACCUCUUUCAGCAGGGACGAAGCGUAAGUGACGGUACCUGCAGAAGAAGCGCCGGCUGACUACGUGCCAGCAGCCGCGGUAAUACGUAGGGCGCGAGCGUUGUCCGGAUUUAUUGGGCGUAAAGAGCUCGUAGGCGGUUUGUCGCGUCUGCUGUGAAAGCCCGGGGCUUAACCGCGGGUGCGCAGUGGAUACGGGCAGACUUGAGUGCGGUAGGGGAGACUGGAAUUCCUGGUGUAGCGGUGAAAUGCGCAGAUAUCAGGAGGAACACCGAUGGCGAAGGCGGGUCUCUGGGCUGAUACUGACGCUGAGGAGCGAAAGCAUGGGGAGCGAACAGGAUUAGAUACCCUGGUAGUCCAUGCCGUAAACGUUGGGCGCUAGGUGUGGGGAACCUUCCCCGUUCUCUGCGCCGCAGCUAACGCAUUAAGUGCCCCGCCUGGGGAGUACGG